This 21-nucleotide non-coding RNA is filed under the name Arabidopsis thaliana (thale cress). The record is from RNAcentral. Lineage: Eukaryota; Viridiplantae; Streptophyta; Magnoliopsida; Brassicales; Brassicaceae.
UGAUUGGCCUUCCAUCAAUCA